This is a long non-coding RNA of Medicago truncatula (barrel medic), 3986 nucleotides long. RefSeq lists it as uncharacterized. The transcript is spliced from 3 exons. Lineage: Eukaryota; Viridiplantae; Streptophyta; Magnoliopsida; Fabales; Fabaceae. The record is from RefSeq and is a predicted model, not a curated record.
UAUAACAUUAUAAAUAUUAGAAAAUAUCCAUUAAAUACAUCAAUGUGUUGUUUUUGCCUCUUCCAUUAAAUAUCAAUUAUGCUUAUUUCAUCUCACCAUGAGCUAAACCCCUCCUUGUGGUUUAGACAUGGUGAGGUUAUGACGUUUAUUUAUUUCUUUCUAACAAACUGCUUUAACUCAAAAUCAUUAGAAGUAAAAUUUGAUCACUUUUAUUUCCAAUGUUAUAGCUCCUUGAUCAUUAUUUCUAAGCAAUAAGUUCUUGAUAGGAUUCCUGUCAUAAGCCAAGGAGCUCAGCUCCUGAAUACUCUUCAUGAGAAAAGGGUGAGCACCUAACCUAGCAACUAUUGGGUGUUAAGUUAUACGUAACCGUACCACGAAAGGUGUGUGUCAUUACUCGUUAUGGCCUUAACACGAUGGGUGCGUUCGUGAAUGCUCAUGGCACAAUUCUCAUCAUAGUUACACCUAGAUACUAAAAUAGAAAGGACAUUCAGGAAAAGAAGGUAGUUGUUCAAGUCAAAGACGAAUUCCAAUCUAGAGGAGCUAGAUCAGAACUUCAUACAGAGCUAUAACUCCAACAAGUCUAGCUCAGAGAGAGAUUCAUUUGUCAACAUGGGUGACAACAACAACACCUUAGACAUUGUAAAUGACAAAUGGAGGUCCAUAAGAGAAUAUGCAGUGUUUGAUCUACCAUCACUCCACACUAGCAUAGUGAAGUCAGAAGUCACUACUGUUCAGUUUGAGUUCAAGCUUAUCAUGUUCCAGAUUCUGCAGACCAUUGGGCAAUCUUCGGGAGUAGACAUAUAUGAUUAUUACCUACACCUGAAUCAAUUCACUGAAGUAGUAGAAAAUUUCAAGAUCGCAUGUAAAGAAGAUGAUGGUUUCAAGUUGAGGUUGUUCCCUUACUCUUUAACAUGAAGAGCAAAACCAUGGUUAAACAAUCUUGAAGCCAACUCUGUCAUGGAGAGAAGUUGUUGAUAAGUUCUUGGUCAAAUAUCUUCCUCCUGUCUUUAAUGCUCGAAAAAGGAAUGACAUAAUAACCUCUUUGAGGAAAACAAAUGAAGAAACACUCUUUGAAGAAUGUGAAAGGUUUAAAUAUAUGUUGAGAAGGUGUCCUCAUCAUGGGAUACAUGUGUUAAUUCAAAUGGAAACCUUCUACAAUGGGCUAGUUCCAUCAACAAUGUUUAUGCCAUGUUGUGUUUUUACCUAUGUGUUGGCUUCAUUUUGUUAAAACAAGAAGUUCUAGCAAGAUGUUGUACCAGAUUCCUUGGCCAUGUAUGUACGACAUCUUAGCUUAAGGUGAAGUUCUUUGUUUCUCUUUCUUAGCAGAUUUUAUUUUUGCGUGAAAUAAUAUAAGAUUUGUUUGAAGGUGAUGUUGCACCGAACUGGGUUACCAAAUCUCUUAUGUCCUUCUUUACAACACUUUAUUUAUGUGUAUUGCUUAUUGUGCUAUAUUUCAUACCUAGUGUCUAGGGCAACAUCAUUGUCGAACCUGUUGUUCAGGACAUCAGGUAUGGUGGGAAAGAAAAUAUGAUAUGCCUGAAUUAGUGUUCACUGAUAUAUAUUUAUAUAUCCAAAUAAAGAGAGAAGAAGACAAUAUAAACAAUAUUUGUUGCUGUCUUAUUUAAGUUCAUUAUCAUUGCUGUAGAAUUCAAAUAUAAAACUAAAAAGUUCUUGAUAGUAUAAAAAAAAAAAUUAUUGGGUUGUGAGAAAAUAACUAAAUGACAGCCCGUGGAAUAUUGUAGUAGAUCAUUUGUGUAUUAUCUUGGGUCUGGCAAUAAAUGAAGAAUCAUGUGAGCACAUGAUCUAAUCGCCACUUCAUCGGAUAACAUCUACACACUUUAUACACAAACUGUAGUGUCGUACCAGGGGGGCAAAUAUCACGAGUGUCAGUAACACUUAGAUUACACGCUGUAUUAAAAAAAAAAAGAAUGAAAAGUGUAAUUAAAAUGUGAUAAUAUGUUGUGUACGAAGUAGAGAAGAAAAUUUUAAAUGGUUAGAAAUGGCUUACGUUGAGAAUUCUCUGCAACCAGAAAUGAGGAUAGAAAGAUAAUCACACUACAAACAACAAUGACAAAUUUAGCCAUGUAUCCUUCCUUUAUUUGUAAUAUAUGUAUUUAUCACUUUAUAAUUUAUAGAGCUCAGUUUCUUCUUAACAUUCUAGAUAUUUAUAAAUAUCCAUUAAUUACAUCAAUGUGUUGUGUGUGUUUCUUCAUCAUACUAAAGAAAGAGGUCACACAACAUGCUGUUCGGCCAAUUUGUCCCUUGAUUUUGUCUUUUUAUUUUUUAUUUAUUUUUAUUUUCUAAUUAAACGCAUGGAAUUUACUUGUAUUUUAAUUAGAAAAUUACACAGCUGGUAGAUUUUAAAUGUUAUGUGGCUUGACACGUAGGAUUGAUCAAAUCAAAAUCGAGGAUUUGCAAAAAGGGCUAAACAUGAGGGGUGUCUUUGGCCAUUUUUUUUAUUACAUGUCCAAAAUCGCUACACUUUGAUACUUAGGGGGUCAAAAGUGCAACUAAGUCUAAAAAAUAUCCAUUAAGUACAUCAAUGUGUUGUGUUUGUCUUUUCAUCAUACCAAAAAAUAACCAUUAAGUACAUCAAUGUGUUGUGUUUGUCUUGUCAUCAUACCAAAAAAUGAGGUCACAAAAAAAAUCUUCUUAAUAUUAUAUUUAUUACAAACUCUUCUAUCUAUUUAUAAUAUAUUAACUUAUUAAUAUAUUAUUUAUCACUUUAUUAUUUACAAAGCUUGUGUUCUUCUUAACAUUAUAAAUAUUAAAAAUUAUACGUUAAAUACAUCAAUGUGUUGUGUUUGUCUCUUCCAUUAAAUAUCAACUAUGCUUAUUUUCAGCUCACCAUGACCUAAACCAUUCCUGGUGGUUUAGACAUGGUGAGGUUAUGAUGUUUAUUUACUUCUUUCUAACAAACUGCUUUAACUCAAAAUCUUUUGAAGUAAAAUUUGAUCACUUUUAUUUUCAAUGCUAUAGCUCCCUGAUCGUUUCCAAGCGCUAAGUUAUUGGUAGGACUCUUAUCAUAGGCCAAUGAGCUCAGGUCUUGAAUAAUCUUCGUGAGGAAAGGAUAAGCACCUAACCUAGCAACUAUUAGGUGUUAAGUUCCGCGUAAUCGUAGCACGAAAGGUUUGUCGUUACGGCCUUAACAUGAUGGAUGAUCUAACACUCCCUAAGACUGUGUUUACCAUGAAUCAGGAGUGAGAUAUAGCUCUAUGAAUCUCAGCAACCUAAGAAUCUAAUAAACAACUAUAGCUCUGAGAUACACAUGAGCCUUGCCAAGCUAUAAUUUUGUAAAUCACAGUAAUGUUUUGUUAUAAUUGAAUCUAGCUUAAACCAGUCUUUCCACCUUAAAAUACUCAUAGUGUAUUGGGAGACACCAAGUUUUUGGCGCUGUUGUCGGAGACUGCAAGAUGUUAUAGUUCUUAUUAGUUUAUCAUUAGGGCACAAUUCUCACCAUAGUUACACCUAUAUACUAAAAUAGAAAGGACGUUCAGAAAAAGAAGGUUGUUGUUCAAUUCAAAGAUGAAUUCCAAUCUAGAGGAGCCAGAUCCAAACUUCAUACAGAGCUACAACUCCAACAAGUCUAGCUCAUAGGGAGAUUCAUUUGUCAACAUGGGUGACAACAAUAACACCUUAGGCAUGGAAAAUGACAAGGGGAGGUCCAUCAGAGAAUAUGUAGUGUUUGAUCUAACAUCACUCCACACUAGCAUAGUGAAGUCAGAAGUCACUACUGCUCAGUUUGAGUUCAAGCCUAUCAUGUUCCAGAUGUUGCGGACCAUUGGCCAAUUUUCGGGAGUAGUCAUAUAUGAUCCUUAUCUACACCUGAAUCAAUUCACUGAAGUAGCCGAAAAUUUCAAGAUCCCAUGUAUAGAAGAUGAUAGUUUCAAGUUGAGGUUGUUCCCUUACUUUAUAACAUGAAUUGUAACACCCCAAUUUUUAAAAUUAGUUUAUUAAAUAAUAUAAUAUUAUUAUUUUUAGUAGUA